GACGAACGCUGGCGGCGUGCUUAACACAUGCAAGUCGAACGAAGUGGCGAACGGGUGAGUAACGCGUAAUCAACCUGCCCUUCAGAGGGGGACAACAGUUGGAAACGACUGCUAAUACCGCAUACUGAAGGUGGGGAUUGCGUCUGAUUAGCUAGUUGGAGGGGUAACGGCCCAACAAGGCGAUGGUCAGUAGCCGGUUUGAGAGGAUGAACGGCCACAUUUGGACUGGAAAAAGGCCCAGAAUCCGACGGGAGGCAGCAGGGGGGAAUCUUCCGCAAUUGGGGAAAGUCUGACGAAGCAACGCCGCGUGAGUGAUGACGGCCUUCGGGUUGUAAAGCUCUGUUAAUCGGGACGCGGUACCGGAAUAGAAAGCCACGGCUAACUACGUGCCAGCCGCCGCGGUAAUAC
RNAcentral lists this ribosomal RNA (408 nucleotides) under uncultured bacterium. Its description in RNAcentral is "partial 16S ribosomal RNA". It matches the Rfam family "Bacterial small subunit ribosomal RNA", at positions 28 to 526 of the family's 1533-position model. The record is from RNAcentral.